GACGAACGCUGGCGGCGUGCCUAAUACAUGCAAGUAGAACGCUGAAGAGAGGAGCUUGCUCUUCUUGGAUGAGUUGCGAACGGGUGAGUAACGCGUAGGUAACCUGCCUGGUAGCGGGGGAUAACUAUUGGAAACGAUAGCUAAUACCGCAUAAAAUGGAUUAUCGCAUGAUAAUCCAUUGAAAGGUGCAAAUGCAUCACUACCAGAUGGACCUGCGUUGUAUUAGCUAGUUGGUGGGGUAACGGCUCACCAAGGCGACGAUACAUAGCCGACCUGAGAGGGUGAUCGGCCACACUGGGACUGAGACACGGCCCAGACUCCUACGGGAGGCAGCAGUAGGGAAUCUUCGGCAAUAGACGGAAGUCUGACCGAGCAACGCCGCGUGAGUGAAGAAGGGUUUCGGAUCGUAAAGCUCGGUUGUAAGAGAAGAACGAGUGUGAGAGUGGAAAGUUCACACUGUGACGGUAGCUUACCAGAAAGGGACGGCUAACUACGUG
Molecule: ribosomal RNA, 497 nt
Filed under: uncultured bacterium
Lineage: Bacteria
Description: partial 16S ribosomal RNA
Rfam family: Bacterial small subunit ribosomal RNA
Source: RNAcentral